This 376-nucleotide ribosomal RNA is filed under the name uncultured bacterium. RNAcentral describes it as "bacterial SSU rRNA". It matches the Rfam family "Bacterial small subunit ribosomal RNA", at positions 521 to 896 of the family's 1533-position model. The record is from RNAcentral.
UAAGACGAACCGUGCGAACGUUGUUCGGAUUCACUGGGCUUAAAGGGCGCGUAGGCGGGCCGCCAAGUCCGGGGUGAAAUCUUUCGGCUUAACCGGAAAAGAGCCUCGGAAACUGACGGUCUGGAGGGAGGUAGGGGUCUGCGGAACUGCUGGUGGAGCGGUGAAAUGCGUUGAGAUCAGCAGGAACGCCGGUGGCGAAAGCGGCGGACUGGACCUCUUCUGACGCUGAGGCGCGAAAGCCAGGGGAGCAAACGGGAUUAGAUACCCCGGUAGUCCUGGCCCUAAACGAUGGGUACUGGGUAGUGGACCAGACAUGGGUCCCCUGCCGAAGCCAAAGUGGUAAGUACCCCGCCUGGGGAGUAUGGUCGCAAGGCUG